Molecule: ribosomal RNA, 464 nt
Filed under: uncultured Acidovorax sp.
Lineage: Bacteria; Pseudomonadati; Pseudomonadota; Betaproteobacteria; Burkholderiales; Comamonadaceae
Description: bacterial SSU rRNA
Rfam family: Bacterial small subunit ribosomal RNA
Source: RNAcentral
UUGACGGGACCGCACAAGCGUGGAUGAUGUGGUUAAUUCGAUGCAACGCGAAACCUUACCACCUUGACAUGUACGGAAUCCUUUAGAGAUAGAGGAGUGCUCGAAAGAGAGCCGUAACACAGGUGCUGCAUGGCUGUCGUCAGCUCGUGUCGUGAGAUGUUGGGUUAAGUCCCGCAACGAGCGCAACCCUUGUCAUUAGUUGCUACAUUCAGUUGGGCACUCUAAUGAGACUGCCGGUGACAAACCGGAGGAAGGUGGGGAUGACGUCAAGUCCUCAUGGCCCUUAUAGGUGGGGCUACACACGUCAUACAAUGGAUGGUACAAAGGGUCGCCAACCCGCGAGGGGGAGCCAAUCCCAUAAAGCCAUUCGUAGUCCGGAUCGCAGUCUGCAACUCGACUGCGUGAAGUCGGAAUCGCUAGUAAUCGUGGAUCAGAAUGUCACGGUGAAUACGUUCCCGGGUCUU